AGACAGACCCAGCCUUAAGGGCUAAGCAUGAUGUUGAUGUUCUAAGUGUUUCUGAAACUUUUCACUAUCAUGCCCCCUUAUACAAGCGAAGGAGCUCAGAUCCCAGUUGCACCCUGCUACAGACUAGAUCACAGCGGCUAUAAGGAGUCCCCGCAGCGCUCCAGCAUAUGUGAGAUCCCACCAAGAUUAGAGGAAUGCAUGAGGGAACCUGACAAGAAAUUUUUCAUUUUAAAAGAAGACCACUGAAAUCAAGGAAUGAAAGUCCAGAAUCACUAGUCACGUGAAAAUCUUGGCUAAGAGUAACUGACAAAGUGGAGUGGUUAUAUAGGCAAUUUGCUAUAUCUUCACCAACUCCCUCUGAAUUGCACCUGAAGAGAUGCCUUUUCCACAGAUUGAGUAAAAGAUUCAAGUUGAAGAUUCCCAAAGAUUCAGAUUAAGGUAUGGGAAGAAAACCCCGUAGUUGUCUAUCUUCUAAAAUGGAACAGUCCCAGUCUUUUUACUCUCUCCUCAUAUGGAAGCUGUUGCAUACCCCUCAUCAUUUUUGUUGCUUCUUUCUAUACCUUUUCCAAUUCUAAUGUAUCCUUGAGAUAGGACAACCAGAACUGCAUGCAGUAUUCAAGGUGUAGGUGUAACAUGCCUUUAUAAUAAUUGUUUUAUUAUCCACCCUUUCCUAAUGGUUCCUAACACUGUUAGGUUUUUUAUUCCCACUGACAUUGAGCAGAUGUUGUGAGCAAAGAGGUUUUCUUGAGCUUUUCCCAGCACUGUGCAUAAGCUGUAAUUCAGCAAUUUACUUAUUAGUGCCAAAAUUCAGCUAAAAUGUUUACCAUCCAGGAAAGGUGCAAAUGAGAACAGCACAUUCUCUUGAGAUUUGCUCUAACAGACGUUAGAAGAUUUCAGUUUUAUAACCAACGUAAGUGAUUUAAAUACAGAGAACCUGAUCUCAUUUUGUUGUUUAUAUUUCAAAAUUCUUUUCGUUCGUCUAACUUAUGUAUGGAAGGAUAAGUUUAACCUGUUUCCCAUCACCUUUUAAAGUAAAUCACAUUUAUACUCAACAGCAAAGGAAGUGAUUGUUUACAUGAUUUGAUAAAAUACAAUGCUGAGAUUAAAGUAUAAAUAGUACAAGUGAAUAAUCUUCAACAUUUAAACUUGACGUAACAGGCCCCAGAAGGGAUGAAUCAUCCAAACCAAACCCAGUUUGCUAAACAGGAGAAAGACAGUCUAGUAUGCUUUAUCUCAUCAAGUGUUACAUUUUACCUACUUUCAAAGGGUGGUCCUCAUACUUUUGAUUUCCCUCUCUCCUUUAUAAUCCAAACAUUGUUUAUUAACCCCGGUCAAAGGAUAAACAUUUGUAUGGUGUUCCAAAAGUCUCCCUUAAUGGCCAAACAUCAAGAGGUUUCAUUUUUCUGAAAGUUAAAAAAUCAGCAAUUGUGCAAAAACACUUGAGACAAAUUGCUCAAAGAAUUUUUAAUUCAUUUAUUACCUGUGCACAAGAGAAAUAACUACCAAUAAAAACUCAAAAGAUAUACAGUAUUUUUACAUGGUGGUUAAAAGUAAUUAGAAUAUCACAUGACACUGUCAGUGAAAGUAAUUCUUCCAAUUACAAAUCAUAAUGCAUGUUAGAAUCUCAAUGAGAGAAGCCAAAAAGCUUUAGAAGCAGUUUCAGAGCAUACAGUAGUGCUCCUUCAAUCUGCAAAAAGAUUAAGAUAAUUUACAGUCAAUCCUUGUGAAUACUGAGACAAUGUUACAAUGCAGCUUUCUGUACAGUUAGAUGUAGACUUAGAGAUAAUUAGAUCAAUAAUUCUAGCAUAUUUUAAAUGAAAUGAACUUGCCUAAACUCUUUUGCUGAGAGAUGUUCACCAAAGAUGCUCAAAGUUUCUCCACUAGAAAUGUGUCAAUUUUAUUUGUUCUGGAUUUUUUUAGUUACAUAGAUUCAUUCUAUUGCAGUGUUUAAGUUCCUAGAUGUGAGCUGUUUCCAACAUUUAUAUUGUGUGUAUAUUUUAUACAAAUAAAAGCAAAAAUGAUAGAUAAAUCAAGUGGUAUAAAUCUUACAGCAUUU
Caretta caretta (loggerhead turtle) is the source of this 2056-nucleotide non-coding RNA. NCBI's taxonomy places the organism in Eukaryota, Metazoa, Chordata, Testudines, Cheloniidae. The record is from RefSeq and is a predicted model, not a curated record.